UGGACAGAUUAUUGUAUUCUACUGUAUUCACGGCGUGAAACAGGGGAUUACACUGUUUUUAAACGGAAAGUGAAUCAAUUAACAUAAUAGACUCCU
This is a microRNA precursor of Nicotiana attenuata, 96 nucleotides long. It matches the Rfam family "MIR6152 microRNA precursor family". NCBI's taxonomy places the organism in Eukaryota, Viridiplantae, Streptophyta, Magnoliopsida, Solanales, Solanaceae. The record is from Rfam.